GAAAACCUGGGUCCUAGAAAGCAUUUUAUAAGGAGUUGGGCCUGGCCAGUGAUUUUUUUAACGGCCGCGGUACUCUGACCGUGCAAAGGUAGCAUAAUCAUUUGCCUUAUAAUUGAAGGCUAGUAUGAAAGGUUUGACAAGAAUAUGACUGUCUCUAUAUGACUAACUAGAAUUUUACUUUCAGGUGAAGAGGCUUGAAUUAAAUUAAAAGACAAGAAGACCCUAUCGAGCUUUUAAAAAAAUUAGAAGAUUAUUAAUUAAUAAGCUUAAAAAAUUAGCUUUUAAAAAUUUUAGUUGGGGCGACUAAGGAAUAGCAAAAGCUUCCUUAAAAAAAUUUUAAUGUACAGAUAUUGAUCCAUAAUAUUAUGAUUAAUGAAAUUAGUUACCGUAGGGAUAACAGCAUAAUCUUUUUUGAGAGCUCUUAUCGAAAAAAAGGUUUGUGACCUCGAUGUUGGACCAAAAUAUCCUAAAGAUGCAACAAUCUUUAAUGGUUGGUCUGUUCUACCAUUAAAAUUUUACCUGA
RNAcentral lists this ribosomal RNA (523 nucleotides) under Anentome sp. B LAG-2017. Its description in RNAcentral is "partial 16S ribosomal RNA". It matches the Rfam family "Bacterial large subunit ribosomal RNA", at positions 1809 to 2603 of the family's 2925-position model. The record is from RNAcentral. Lineage: Eukaryota; Metazoa; Mollusca; Gastropoda; Neogastropoda; Nassariidae.